This 2268-nucleotide ribosomal RNA is filed under the name Ancistrocheirus sp. FFA-2020. RNAcentral's name for it is "SSU rRNA". The record is from RNAcentral. Lineage: Eukaryota; Metazoa; Mollusca; Cephalopoda; Oegopsida; Ancistrocheiridae.
ACCUGGUUGAUCCUGCCAGUAGUCAUAUGCUUGUCUCAAAGCUUAAGCCAUGCAAGUGUAAGUUCACGCCACGCAUUAGAAUGGGUGAAACCGCGAAUGGCUGAGGAACCGGACCUAAUCCUCGGGACCGUAAUCCUCCUCAGACGCGAUGGAUAACUGUGGCAAUUCUAGAGCUAAUACAUGUGACACAGGCCGCGAUCGGCCGUCGCGUCGUGGUCGCCUCGCCUCGCGCGCUGGCACCCGCGGCGGCCGUCUUGGGUCGCGGCGCUACAUAUUAGACUGAGACCGAUGCGCGAUUUCCGUCCUCCCGUCGCGGGCUUCGGUUCGCGUGCGGGACCAAAGGUCGGCGCGCUCCGCUUUGGUGACUCUGGAUAACUCACUGGUCGAUCGCACGGGCUUCCACGCCCGGCGACGGGUCCCUCGAGGGUCCGCCCUAUCAACUGUCGACGGUCGGUUAAGUGCCUACCGUGGUUACUACGGGUAACGGGGAAUCGGGGUUCGAUUCCGGAGAGGGAGCAUGCGAAACGGCUACCACAUCCAAGGAAGGCAGCAGGCGCGCAAAUUACCCACUCCCGGCACGGGGAGGUAGUGACGAAAAAUAACGACGCGGGACUCUGUCGAGGCCCCGCGAUCGGAAUGAGUACACUUCAAAUCCGUUAACGAGGACCAACCGGAGGGCAAGUCUGGUGCCAGCAGCCGCGGUAAUUCCAGCUCCGGUAGCGUAUAUUAAAGUUGUUGCGGUUAAAAAGCUCGUAGUCCGAACUCGGGUUCGUGGUCGCUCACGCGGCCCCGGGGCGGCGGCGCCAUCGUCCAUCGUUGACUUUGGUCGUCCGUUCGCAUUCCCGGCCCUUUCCGCCGGUGUCGAUCGCUGUAUAGACGGCCGCGGGUGUMGCUGGUGUCUGGCGCGUUGUGGCGUGCGUCUCUCUUUUUUCCCGUUCGUGGCUCUUCGGGGCCGGCUUCGGUCGACUUCGAUCACCGCGUCGGGUUUCUCGAGUCUCGUUGCGUCGCUUCCGGGUCUUCGGGCUCCCUCUCGCCACGCAAGCUCGYGUCGCCGUCGGCGAUUUCUCCUCCAAGGGUGCUCUUAACCGAGUGUCCGCGGCGGCCGGUACGUUCACUUUGAAAAAAUUAGAGUGCUCAGAGCGGGCUGUUCAAGCUUGCAUACGAUAAGCAUGGAAUGAUGGAAGAGGGCCUCGUCUACGUCUGUCGGUCUCCGUCUACGGCGAGGCAAUGAUCGAAGGGAGCGGUCGGGGCCACUCGUAUUGCGACGUUAGAGGUGAAAUUCUUGGAUCGUCGCAAGACGAACUGCAGCGAUGGCGUGUGGCAAGCACGUUUUCCUCGAUCAAGAGCGAAAGUCGGAGGUUCGAAGACGAUCAGAUACCGUCGUAGUUCCGACCGUAAACGAUGCCGACCGGCGAUCCGCCGGCGUUCGCUUCCAUGACCCGGCGGGUAGCCUGCGGGAAACCAGAGUUCGGUUCCGGGGGGAGUAUGGUUGCAAAGCUGAAACUUAAAGGAAUUGACGGAAGGGCACCACCAGGAGUGGAGCCUGCGGCUUAAUUUGACUCAACACGGGAAAACUCACCCGGUCCGGACACCGGUAGGAUUGACAGAUCGAUAGCUCUUUCUCGAUUCGGUGGGUGGUGGUGCAUGGCCGUUCUUAGUUGGUGGAGCGAUCCGUCUGGUUGAUUCCGAUAACGAACGAGACUCCGGCCUGCUAACUAGUGCGCCGAUGUGAGUGCGGCCCUUCGCUGGUCGUGUGCGGGCGUGCCGGGCCGAUUUUUGAUCGCGCUCCGGUCGCGUCCGGGUCGGUUUCUCACGCACUUCUUAGAGGGACGGGUGGCAGAAAGCCACACGAGGCGGAGCGAUAACAGGUCUGUGAUGCCCUUAGAUGUCCGGGGCCGCACGCGCGCUACACUGGAGGUAUCAGCGGGGACUUCGCCCCGGCCCGAGAGGGUCGGGAAACCUCUCAACCACCUCCCGUGAUAGGGAUCGGGGCCUGUAACCAACCCCGUGAACGAGGAAUUCCCGGUAGGCGCGGGUCAACAGCCCGCGUCGAUCACGUCCCUGCCCUUUGUACACACCGCCCGUCGCUACUACCGAUCGAACGGUCCGGUGAGGUCCUCGGAUCUGGCCGACGACGCCGCCGGGCGCGGGCCUUCACGGGUCCCGCCUCGGCGUUCGAUGCCUGGAGAAGACGACCGAACCCGAUCGUUUAGAGGAAGUAAAAGUCGUAACAAGGUUUCCGUAGGUGAACCUGCGGAAGGAUCAUUA